UCCUUUAUUUCCCACUAAGUACUUUAAUUUCUAUGAUGGAUUUGAAUGUGAAUGUUCCUCUUACAUUCACUUAGACGCUAUAAAGGUGCUGGUUCCUGCAUAUUAAAAGUCUGAGCUGCAUAAAAGACUAUACAAGCAAGUCUUUUUUUGUGUGUGUGUAUUUCGUUGGCGAUAUACCCCAAGAGACACAACAAUUUGAUUUUGGAAAUAGUUAAGGUCAUUUUAAUACAGCACUAGAAAAUUAUGAAAACUGGUAGAAUUGAGCGAUGGAUACACGGAUACUUAUGAAACAAAGCCUGUCUGUCCAAGCUAUGAGUGUAGAAAUGAUUGACAACCAUUUGAUUUUGGAAAUAGUUAAGGACAUUUUAAUACAGCACCAGAAAAUUAUGAAAACAAGAAGAAUUGAGCCAUGGGUACACAGAUACUUAUGAAACAAGGCCUUUCUGCCCAAGCUAUGAGUGUAGAAAUGACUGACAACCAUUUGAUUUUGGAAACAGUUAAGGACAUUUUAAUAUAGCACUAGAAAAUUAUGAAAACUGGAAGAAUUGAGCUAUGGAUACCCAGAUACUUAUGAAACAAAGCCCUUUCUGUCCAAGCUAUGAGUGAAGAAAUGAUUGACAACCAUUUGAUUUUGGAAAUAGUUAAGGACAUUUUAAUAUAGCACUAGAAAAUUAUGAAAACAAGUAGAAUUGAGCCAUGGAUACACAGAUACUUAUGAAACAAAGCCCUUUCUGUCCAAGCUAUGAGUGUAGAAAUGAUCGACAACCAUUUGAUUUUGGAAACAGUUAAGGACAUUUUAAUAUAGCACUAGAAAAUUAUGAAAACUGGUAAAAUUGAGCGAUGGAUACACAGAUACUUAUGAAACAAAGCCCUUUCUGUCCAAGCUAUGAGUGAAGAAAUGAUUGACAACCAUUUGAUUUUGGGAAUAGUUAAGGACAUUUUGAUACAGCACUAGAAAAUUAUGAAAACAAGUAGAAUUGAGCUAUGGAUACCCAGAUACUUAUGAAACAAAGUAAAAUCAAGUUAUGAAGGGCCUGUCCAUCCAAGCUAUGAGUGUAGAAAUGAUUGACAACCAUUUGAUUUUGGAAACAGUUAAGGACAUUUUAAUACAGCACCAGAAAAUUAUGAAAACUGGAAGAAUUGAGCCAUGGGUACCCAGUUUUCCUAAGCCAUGAGGGUAUAGAUUAGCAACAAGAUGAAUUAAGGUUGACAGGAUACAUUAAUUAAUCUUCCUUUACCUUUACGAAUAAAUGAAAAACAAUGAAGUUCUUUGUCUAUAAACUUUAAUUAGUAUAAAUCUCCACUGGGAAAAAUAAUCAUAUAUAAACUGACAUGCUAUAAAAAAUAAAUGCCAAUAAUAGCCAUAAAAUAUUAAGCUUCCAACUAAGGGUAUGGAUGACAGAUUUUGACUUGGAAUAAUAUUUUUUGAAGAGAUGCAGAGACUCAUAAUGAAUGCAAGUCAUCCGAGAAUUUAGAAGAGUUACUGAGUCAUUCAAAUUUACAGGAGCAUGAGACACUACAGGCCAGUUCCAACGUUAAACACAAUGCUUUUCAGAAGAGAUGCAGAGACUCAUAAUGAAUGCAAGUCGUCCGAGAAUUUAGAAGAGUUACUGAGUCAUUCAAAUUUACAGGAGCAUGAGACACUAAAGGGCAGUUCCAACGUUAAAACACAAUAGGCUUCAACCUGCCAAACUAGAAAAUGAGAACUAUAUGGAACUGGAAAUAAAGGCAAAAAGAUAUUAGUGAACAUUUCAAAAACACCAUCAGGCCACCCCAUCCACAAUAGCCUCGACAUUAAGCCCCGCCCCUUUCCCCCCAUUCAGAGCAUAUGAUUGGACGAUACAUCAGCAAGCCACACCUCUUUUCUAACCAGUCUGCAUGUGAUUGGUGGAUGCUGGGAAGGGUUAAAUCUCACUGGUGGAUGAUGGGAAAGGUCAAAUCUUAUUGGUGGAUGCUGGGAAGGGUUGAAUCUUAUUGGUGGAUGCUGGGAAGGGUUGAAUCUCAUUGGUGGAUGCUGGGAAGGGUUGAAUCUCAUUGGUGGAUGCUGGGAAGGGUUGAAUCUCAUUGGUGGAUGCUGGGAAGGGUUGAAUCUCAUUGGUGGAUGCUGGGAAGGGUUGAAUCUCAUUGGUGGAUGCUGGGAAGGGUUGAAUCUCAUUGGUGGAUGCUGGGAAGGGAUUAAAUCUUAUUGGUGGAUCUGGGAGAGGUGAAUUUUAUUGGUUGAUGUGCGACUGAUGUGGGCGGGGCAUAAAAUCGAUGUUAAUGUGAACAGAGCACUAUAGGGUUAACAUGGAACCUCACACACACACAUACACACACACACACAUACAUACAC
Long non-coding RNA from Eriocheir sinensis (Chinese mitten crab), 2332 nucleotides. RefSeq lists it as uncharacterized. The transcript has 2 exons. The record is from RefSeq and is a predicted model, not a curated record. NCBI's taxonomy places the organism in Eukaryota, Metazoa, Arthropoda, Malacostraca, Decapoda, Varunidae.